RNAcentral lists this unclassified non-coding RNA (202 nucleotides) under Hevea brasiliensis (rubber tree). The record is from RNAcentral. Lineage: Eukaryota; Viridiplantae; Streptophyta; Magnoliopsida; Malpighiales; Euphorbiaceae.
GUUUAAAGUUUUAGCCCCAUCAAGUUUGUUUGAGGAGAUGGUAACUUUUGAUGCAAUUGAAUAAUGUACAUGUGAAUCAAGUGGCUAUAUUAGAAAGAGUUGUCCAUUUGCUUCUACUUGAAAUUCUAAACUUUAGCCCUUUCAAGUUUGUUUUGGUGAUAAUGUAACUUUUGAUGUAAUUGAAUAAAGUACAUGUGAAGAA